Molecule: ribosomal RNA, 253 nt
Filed under: uncultured bacterium
Lineage: Bacteria
Description: partial 16S ribosomal RNA
Rfam family: Bacterial small subunit ribosomal RNA
Source: RNAcentral
UACGUAGGGGGCAAGCGUUGUCCGGAAUCAUUGGGCGGAAAGAGCGUGUAGGUGGCUCGGUAAGUCCGCUGUGAAAGUCCAGGGCUCAACCCUGGAAAGCCGGUGGAAACUGUCGAGCUCGAGUCCGGAAGAGGCGAGUGGAAUUCCUGGUGUAGCGGUGAAAUGCGCAGAUAUCAGGAGGAACACCAAUGGCGAAGGCAGCUCGCUGGGACGGUACUGACACUGAGACGCGAAAGCGUGGGGAGCAAACAGG